UGGGGAAUUUUGCGCAAUGGGGGAAACCCUGACGCAGCAACGCCGCGUGGAGGAUGAAGUCCUUCGGGACGUAAACUCCUUUCGAUCGGGACGAUUAUGACGGUACCGGAAGAAGAAGCCCCGGCUAACUUCGUGCCAGCAGCCGCGGUAAUACGAGGGGGGCGAGCGUUGUUCGGAAUUAUUGGGCGUGAAGGGUGCGUAGGCGGUUUGGUAAGUCUGAUGUGAAAUCUAUGGGCUCAACUCAUAGACUGCAUCGGAAACUGCCGGGCUUGAGUGUGGGAGAGGUGAGUGGAAUUUCCGGUGUAGCGGUGAAAUGCGUAGAUAUCGGAAGGAACACCUGUGGCGAAAGCGGCUCACUGGACCACAACUGACGCUGAGGCACGAAAGCUAGGGGAGCAAACAGGAUUAGAUACCCUGGUAGUCCUAGCCCUAAACCAUGAUUGCUUGGUGUGACGGGUACCCAAUCCCGCCGUGCCGUAGCUAACGCGUUAAGCAAUCCGCCUGGGGAGUACGGUCGCAAGGCUG
Molecule: ribosomal RNA, 525 nt
Filed under: uncultured bacterium
Lineage: Bacteria
Description: bacterial SSU rRNA
Rfam family: Bacterial small subunit ribosomal RNA
Source: RNAcentral